Molecule: ribosomal RNA, 538 nt
Filed under: Fermentozyma sake
Lineage: Eukaryota; Fungi; Ascomycota; Pichiomycetes; Serinales; Debaryomycetaceae
Description: eukaryotic LSU rRNA
Rfam family: Eukaryotic large subunit ribosomal RNA
Source: RNAcentral
ACGGCGAGUGAAGCGGCAAAAGCUCAAAUUUGAAAUCUGCGUAAGCCGAGUUGUAAUUUGAAGAUGGCUACUUUGGUAAUGGCUCUUGUCUAUGUUCCUUGGAACAGGACGUCACAGAGGGUGAGAAUCCCGUGCGAUGAGAUGUCCAUUACCGUGUAAAGUGCUUUCGAAGAGUCGAGUUGUUUGGGAAUGCAGCUCUAAGUGGGUGGUAAAUUCCAUCUAAAGCUAAAUAUUGGCGAGAGACCGAUAGCGAACAAGUACAGUGAUGGAAAGAUGAAAAGAACUUUGAAAAGAGAGUGAAAAAGUACGUGAAAUUGUUGAAAGGGAAGGGCUUGAGAUCAGACUUGGUAUUUUGUAUGGCUUGCUUUCGGGCGGGUCCUCUGCAGUUUACUGGGCCAGCAUCGGUUUGGGUGGCAGGAUAAUAGCAUUGGAAUGUGGCUCUACUUCGGUGGAGUGUUAUAGCCUUUGUUGAUACUGCCUGCCUAGACCGAGGACUGCGUCUUUUGACUAGGAUGCUGGCAUAAUGAUCCUAAGCCGC